AUGCAAAGAACUUUGAAAAGAGAGUUAAACAGGGCUUGAAACCGUUAAGAGUGAAGCGAAGGAGGCCAGUGAUCAUGGGGCCAGAUCCCCAAGCGCCCUUUGUUGGGCGCCGUAGCGUUCUGGUUCCCGGGGCAGCGCCGGCUGGGGGCGGGUGUCAACGGGGAGGAGGUUGAGGGAUUCAUUUCCCGCCUGCUACUCCCUUCUAGCUUGCACCCUGGCCGAGGGAUCCGCGACUUGUCGUGUGAGGGCGCUGUCAAAAUGGCCUUCUCCACCCCGUCUUGAAACACGGACCAAGGAGUCUAACAUACUCGCGAGUGUUUGGGUGGUUAAAACCCCAACGCACAAUGAAAGUAAACGGUAGCUCUGCGCUAUUGCUUGGUGGGAACCCUUAUUUUAUAACGGGGGGCACCAUCACCCGACCCCGAUCCCUUAGGGGUGGUUGGUUUUGAGGCAGAGCGAGUAUGAUGGGACCCGAAAGAUGGUGAACUAUUCCUGAGUAGGGCGAAGCCAGAGGAAACUCUGGUGGAGGCUCGUAGCGAUGCUGACGUGCAAAUCGCUCGUCGAACUUGGGUAUAGGGGCGAAAGACUAAUCGAACCAUCUAGUAGCUGGUUCCCUCCGAAGUUUCCCUCAGGAUAGCGGGAGCAAAUGCAAGUCAGUAUCAUCC
This 665-nucleotide ribosomal RNA is filed under the name Pyropia peggicovensis. Its description in RNAcentral is "eukaryotic LSU rRNA". It matches the Rfam family "Eukaryotic large subunit ribosomal RNA", at positions 364 to 1006 of the family's 3401-position model. The record is from RNAcentral. Lineage: Eukaryota; Rhodophyta; Bangiophyceae; Bangiales; Bangiaceae.